GAGUUCCGAGCGUGUGUUACUGCAGAAUUACUGGCAGAAGGCGCUGGCUGGUGUGGAAGCACGGUAUCUUGGUUUUGUAAUUCCUACCUCCGUCUUCCCGUUUGUCAUCUGGGAGGAGGUUCAAAUUUGUUCGACUGGAUCCAGACACUGGGAUUUAAGAGCAAAAGAUUUUAGUCAGUAAGCUAUCAAGAUGUAUCCACCAGCUGUUCGUGGUCGUGCGGUUCUAAACCUGGCUGGGCGCUUCGGAGCCAUGACGGUCCGGAAGCGCGCCAUCUCGGCUGCGGACGGUUCACGACGAUGCUUCAGCACUGAUUUAAAAGCAGACAACUUUCUCUCGGGAUCCAGCUCGGUUUAUGUGGAGGACAUGUACCAACAAUGGAAGAAGAACCCACACAGUGUU
Paramacrobiotus metropolitanus is the source of this 400-nucleotide long non-coding RNA. RefSeq lists it as uncharacterized. The record is from RefSeq and is a predicted model, not a curated record. Lineage: Eukaryota; Metazoa; Tardigrada; Eutardigrada; Parachela; Macrobiotidae. The transcript has 3 exons.